AGUGAACGCUGGCGGCGUGCUUAACACAUGCAAGUCGAACGAGAACGGAUAUAGCUUGCUAUAAUUGUCAGCUAAGUGGCGCACGGGUGAGUAAUGUAUAGGUAAUAUGCCUCUUACUAAGGGAUAACAAAUGGAAACGUUUGCUAAUACCCUAUACUCCUUAUUAACAGAAGUUAAUAAGGGAAAGAUUUAUUGGUAAGAGAUUAGCCUGUAUUGUAUCAGUUAGUUGGUGGGGUAAUGGCUUACCAAGACUAUGACACAUAACUGGUUUGAGAGGAUGAUCAGUCACACUGGAACUGAGACACGGUCCAGACUCCUACGGGAGGCAGCAGUGGGGAAUAUUGCACAAUGGACGAAAGUCUGAUGCAGCAACGCCGCGUGGAGGAUGACACAUUUCGGUGCGUAAACUCCUUUUAUAUGAGAAGAUAAUGACGGUAUUAUAUGAAUAAGCACCGGCUAACUCCGUGCCAGCCGCCGCCGUAA
Molecule: ribosomal RNA, 483 nt
Filed under: uncultured bacterium
Lineage: Bacteria
Description: partial 16S ribosomal RNA
Rfam family: Bacterial small subunit ribosomal RNA
Source: RNAcentral